CGAUGGCACCCAUCAUGCAAUCGUUCCAUGGGAUUGUGACCUGCAUUGAGAUUUCAGUGCUUUGCACUUCGCCAGACUGAGAUCAAAAAGACCCCCAUUGUAUCAAUUUACAUUCGUAACACUUUAUUAUGUCAAUUUGUUGAUUGUUCACAAUGACACUGGAUAUUCUAACAGUUGCUCAGCCUCACGUAAUAUUCCAACAGUGCAUAUUUUUUGUAAUUUUGAUUGUUCGUUAGAGUUCUAGAUACUAUGCUCGAGUAGAGUAGGUUUACUAUAACAGAUUGUUUAGGAAUCACAGGUGCAGAAGGUAUUCUACCAUCCGCAGUGUGAGGGUUUUGAAGCAGAUAUUCAUUCUAUGUGACCACGACAGGGAUGGUAUGUAUUCUGUUUGUACUUGAGACUCUUAGAUUUCCAGUGGAGUUUUGGUUUCUCCUGCUGAGAUCGUACACUUGAUGUUUAUACUAUGCAUUCAAGCUAUUCCCACACCUAAGAAAUAGGGCAACAAGAUUCAGGUAUAUGAUUUGAGGUUCGUAGUGGAGAAGAGCUGUGAGAAACUGCAGUUGCUUUCUUUUAUUGCAACGCAUGGACAAUUAUUUUUUCUUUUUGGCGAUCACAGGGAACAAAUACUACGGGGAUCAAGUCGGGGAUUCAUGGCAAGGGAUUGACAUUUUUUUAUCAAAGCAGUUUGCUACACACU
Long non-coding RNA from Triticum aestivum (bread wheat), 697 nucleotides. RefSeq lists it as uncharacterized. NCBI's taxonomy places the organism in Eukaryota, Viridiplantae, Streptophyta, Magnoliopsida, Poales, Poaceae. The transcript has 3 exons. The record is from RefSeq and is a predicted model, not a curated record.